Molecule: long non-coding RNA, 330 nt
Organism: Lemur catta (Ring-tailed lemur)
Lineage: Eukaryota; Metazoa; Chordata; Mammalia; Primates; Lemuridae
Exons: 3
Source: RefSeq, a predicted model, not a curated record
GAUUUCAAGGCUCGACCUUGGUCUGCUUUUCCUGGAAGAAGAUUGUGCCAUUGUGUUCCUGUAUGGCCUGAAGGUGUCUGUGAAGGUGUCAGGACCAGUAAACCCGUGGAGCCUUGCCAUUCCUAACGUGACGAAAGGAAAGGAGACACAAGGUGGCUCAGAUUCCUAGGUAAGGGGAUCAAAAUCAGGAAACUGCAAGACUCUUACAGGCAUCUGGUUUAAUCCCCUUCUGCUACAAAUGAAGAAACUGAGGUCUAGAGAGGUCUCUACAUCAAGACCUGGACCAUAUCUGGACCUGCUAUAGAUCAUGAGAUCCUGGACUUCAAAGGU